GCCAGCACUACUCGUUCUUCUUUACUACUCCACUAGUACUUAGUCUUGCUAGUCUCUUUGGAUUCUUGGAAAUUGGAAAGAAGGAAAGAAAAAAAAACAUAGAUUCAAUCCUCGUGGAGUCCAGGGAUCUUAGCAAGCCUGACGACGCACUCCUCCACGGCCCCACACGAGCUCUUGCAAGAGAGCCCGCGCCCACGCAGCCCAAGACCGAGGCCGAGCCUAAGCCCGGCCCAGCCAACCAGCUUCUGGCCCCCCCUGUCGUCUCUCCUGCCGCGGGCGCCGUCCUCCGUGCAGGCCAGGUAGGCUGCAAGGAACGGGUCCUCCGCCGGCCUGACGCCGCGGCUCCUCGGCCUUCUCGUCAUUGGGGGCGAGGCGCCCGGCGCGCUCGGCACUCCUGGAGGUGGCGGCACGCGCAGGCGGUGCCGGUGCGUCGUCGCAGGCGCAGGCGCAGGAGCCUGCUUCUUAGCGCUCGCCGGCGUCCUCCUGCUUACAGCCUCCGCGCGGGGCGCGCCGCCGGCGGUGGUGGGCUUGUUGGCCCCCAAGUGGCUCUGUUUGGACACUCCGGGCUCGUGCUCCCAAGAGAAGGCCACCGUGCUGCUGCCGGACUUGGACGCCGCCACUGCUUCCAGAUUCAUGUCGUUGGCGUCCGAAACUCCUGGAGCUAGCUCGACCGAUCGAACGCGAGCGAUCAAGCUAGGCCAGCAGCAGAAACGCGACGCGCCGAAGGGAUGACACAGAGAAAACCACGGAGACCAAGAGAGCAGAAGGCUGUAGCAACUAGCAACGCGGCAGGAAGAAAAAAAAACGUGUGCGCGCGAUCUGCGGCACCCGUGAGCGAGAGGAUGCGACGGGCUUCUUGGAGCUUUAUAGCAGCAGCAGCAGCAUAAGAAGAAGAAGGCGGGCAUGGUGGGCAGGGCUUGAUCCGCCGAUGGCGACGGCUUCGUUCGGAAAUCAGAA
RNAcentral lists this unclassified non-coding RNA (957 nucleotides) under Zea mays. RNAcentral's name for it is "misc RNA Zm00001eb052060". The record is from RNAcentral. Lineage: Eukaryota; Viridiplantae; Streptophyta; Magnoliopsida; Poales; Poaceae.